UGGGGGAGAGGUUUAAGUCUUAAUGACAACGCUUUGGUCUCUUGAUGGCAAAGACUGGGUCCUACAGUCCCAGCCUGAUGAGGGAGAACAGGAACUUCUGUUCUUCGUGGCAAACCUUCUGUUACUCCUCGUGCAGUUCUUUUCUUUCUGUUGUAUGUGUUACUGUCCGGAAUCUCUCCGAGGAAAGCUGUUAGAAAUUUAGAGGUAGGACUGGAAUUUGGGUCUGUUCUCUACAAACUCCUGCAAAGCCUGAAUGGCUGGGCUGAUGACUGCUCUUAACAAAGGUGGUUUAUUAAUAUUCCGUCAGAUUUCCCUCAGCUCUAGGCAGGACAGGCAAGGGUUCGGGUCGGGAAUUGUGCAAGCAAGACCUGUUAUUUCUCCUGUGCGUGUGUCAGUUUGGCAGAGCUAGGACAAGGAGAACUCGUGCAGGCACCUCCAGAGACAGCGGGAAAAUUCCAGGUGGUGGGUGCUGAGAAAUUUGUCCUUCCCUUGUCCUGUGCUCUGCACUUAGCAAUGGGUCAAGUGCAGAAGUUUCCUGGGGACUCUGGAAAAUGAUGCCGGGUCUGCUAAGAAAAGUGGGGCCAAAAGAGCAGGACCUGGGUCUGCGAGUGUGGGAGAAACAAGGGAGAGAGCAAUGGACGGGUCAUCCUCUGCCUCCAGGAGGGAGGGCAGCAGGAAAGGCCAUGGACUAAACCACUGAAGUGCUGUUCCCCAGGGAGCCCCUGCCCAGCACUGAACUUGCUUCUGCACUUGCCGUCCCUUUUCCAGUGGAGCCGAAGUGUUGGGUGUGGGUGCUGGGGGGAUGGAGCUGCCAAGGACAAACUGGGAGGGUGUUUGAGAAGGAAGGGGGUAGAAGGAGCUCUUGACGUGCUUUUUUUACUUCUUCAUCCCACAGAAUUGCCAUGAGAGGAAAUACCUCAGAGGGGCUUCCCUCCAUAUAUACCCUGAAUAUGCCAGGACGUUUCAGAUGGGAGAAUGGAGCUGUGGAAAAAAACCAGCCUAAAAAUAGCCAGUGGGGAUUAUCAGGUUUUCCAGCCAAGAAAAACAAGGACGGAGAUGAGGGAAUCGAGUUCCAAUUAAUAAUGAUUUGGAAGUGGGCUGGGACAAGGGAAUUGGCUCCCACGAGGCCGAGGAUCAGAGUGGGCUCUGCACAGAGGACGACUUCCACUUCCGAACAGGGAAGGGCGCCUUCGUCCCCAUCCCCAGCAAACUGGGACGGAGUAACAUCUGCCUCCAACUGGCUGGAGUUCCCAUUGGCUCUGGGCUUUCUGUUCACGGGCCGGGGAUCAUGGCCAGAGUCAUUCAAACCUGGGGAACAGUGGCCUUCACAGCAUCCCUGCAGCCUGUCCAGGGCAGGCUGCUGCGCAUCGGCCCCUGAUCGCAGGUGGAUGUAGAAGUGGUAGUGUUUAGGGAAUGCUGAUUGUAUUUCCCUGACUUUAGCAACGUGGUCAUUAAAAAGAGAAAAAUAACAAGUCUAUGGAAAUCCCCUGCACUUGGGAGCUUGCGGUGCUCUGGAUUAAAUCUUGGCUCUUAAUGUUAAAACUGUGGGCGAGGGGCGGGGCGGUGGCCGAGCAGGGC
Long non-coding RNA from Lepidothrix coronata (blue-crowned manakin), 1578 nucleotides. The record is from Ensembl. NCBI's taxonomy places the organism in Eukaryota, Metazoa, Chordata, Aves, Passeriformes, Pipridae.